GUUCUGUUUUGUUUUGUGUGUAAAAUGCAGAUCUACUCUAAAGCUGAAGAUCCUGUCAUAUACAGCACUAUAAAUGAUGAAAUCCCUAAUGAUCCCAGCAAGAACAUAACCACCUACAGUACUAUUGAUCAUGUUCCUGGGAGUGAAGCAAAGCCUCCAGCAGAUGGAGCAAUAUACAGCAUAACAUACAGCACUGUGGCUCCACACUGACAGCAACAGUGAGAAAAACACAGGAACAGAUCCUUCUGACCAAGAGAAGGUUUUUUUUUUUUUUUUUUUUUUUUUUUUUUUGCCUUAAAUCCACAAACACAAUGCUAAAUCCACUUAUACAGUUGACUUUUUCCCCUUUGUUUUCAUUUGCACAUUGGUUGUGAACUUUUGAUCUGAUAUUUUAUUUUGACCCACAUGAACCAAAGUGAGGGUCAAAAAUUGUAAGGAUUAUUGUAAAUGAAGUCCAUAGUUCAUAUCUAGCCUACUUUGGUGUUUUAUUGUGUAUUUAAAGACCUCUCCUGAGAAAAUGGGGAUCUUUUUAUAGUUAUAAUUUCUAUUUAAGUGUCUUUGUUUCAUUUCUUCACUGUAAAAAUUACUUAUCUGGG
Long non-coding RNA from Labeo rohita (rohu), 596 nucleotides. RefSeq lists it as uncharacterized. NCBI's taxonomy places the organism in Eukaryota, Metazoa, Chordata, Actinopteri, Cypriniformes, Cyprinidae. The record is from RefSeq and is a predicted model, not a curated record. The transcript is spliced from 3 exons.